This is a long non-coding RNA of Haliotis rubra (blacklip abalone), 401 nucleotides long. RefSeq lists it as uncharacterized. The record is from RefSeq and is a predicted model, not a curated record. The transcript is spliced from 3 exons. Lineage: Eukaryota; Metazoa; Mollusca; Gastropoda; Lepetellida; Haliotidae.
UAUACAUAACAUAUAACAACCCAUAUACAGUGAAAUCUGUCAAAUUCGGACUCUUUGUAAACCGGUUUUCUCCUUAAUCCGGACUACUCUCUGAGUCCCGGCAAAUUUUUUCUUAAUUUAUCACUAAAGCUUGCUUUAUAAUCCGGACUCUCUCAAUUACGGAUUACGGACUCACAUAACAGACCCGACAAUCAAUUUGCUAUGAGAACAAUCCUUUGUAAUCCGGACGUAGCUGGCUAAAAUAACUGAAAGGACAAAUAAAGGAACACAGGAAAAUUAAAGUGUUCCUUUAAUAUUUUUCAGUAUUCAUCACCAGCUUUGAAGAGCGCUGUGUGAGGAAAAUCUGAGAAUAAAUAAAGGAACACUGCCAUGAAGUGGUGUUCCCCUAUUUGUUUCCCUCC